ACAUGCAAGUCGAACGGGAUCUGCGUGGCCUUUGUGGUUGUGUGGUGAGAGUGGCGAACGGGUGAGUAACACGUGAGUAACCUGCCUUUUUCUUUGGGAUAACGCUCAGAAAUGGGUGCUAAUACUGGAUGUUCUGCGCUUUCCGCAUGGGGGGUGUGGGAAAGGGGCCUUUGUGGUUUCUGGAGGGAGAUGGGCUCGCGGCUUAUCAGCUUGUUGGUGGGGUGAUGGCUUACCAAGGCUUUGACGGGUAGCCGGCCUGAGAGGGUGGGCGGUCACAUUGGGACUGAGAUACGGCCCAGACUCCUACGGGAGGCAGCAGUGGGGAAUUUUGCACAAUGGGGGGAACCUUGAUGCAGCGACGCCGCGUGAGGGAUGGAGGCCUUCGGGUUGUGAACCUCUUUCGCUCGUGUGCAAGCCGCUAUUUGGGUAGUGGUGAGUGUAGCGGGUAAAGAAGCGCCGGCUAACUACGUGCCAGCAGCCGCGGUAAUACGUAGGGCGCGAGCGUUGUCCGGAUUUAUUGGGCGUAAAGGGCUUGUAGGCGGUUUGUCGCGCCUGUCGUGUAAUCCUCUGGCUUAACUGGGGGUGUGCGGUGGGUACGGGCAGGCUUGAGUGCGGUAGGGGAGAUUGGAAUUCCUGGUGUAGCGGUGGAAUGCGCAGAUAUCAGGAGGAACACCGGUGGCGAAGGCGGGUCUCUGGGCCGUUACUGACGCUGAGGAGCGAAAGCGU
This 726-nucleotide ribosomal RNA is filed under the name Schaalia radingae. Its description in RNAcentral is "bacterial SSU rRNA". It matches the Rfam family "Bacterial small subunit ribosomal RNA", at positions 53 to 762 of the family's 1533-position model. The record is from RNAcentral. Lineage: Bacteria; Bacillati; Actinomycetota; Actinomycetes; Actinomycetales; Actinomycetaceae.